CCUACGGGCGGCAGCAGUAGGGAAUAUUGCUCAAUGGGGGAAACCCUGAAGCAGCAACGCCGCGUGGAGGAUGAAGGUCUUCGGAUUGUAAACCCCUUUUGUUAGAGAAGAAAAUGACGGUAUCUAACGAAUAAGCACCGGCGAACUCCGUGCCAGCAGCCGCGGUAAUACGGAGGGUGCAAGCGUUACUCGGAAUCACUGGGCGUAAAGAGCGCGUAGGCGGGAUAGCAAGUCAGAUGUGAAAUCCUAUGGCUUAACCAUAGAACUGCAUUUGAAACUGUUAUUCUAGAGUAUGGGAGAGGUAGGUGGAAUUCUUGGUGUAGGGGUGAAAUCCGUAGAGAUCAAGAGGAAUACUCAUUGCGAAGGCGACCUGCUGGAACAUAACUGACGCUGAUGCGCGAAAGCGUGGGGAGCAAACAGGAUUAGAUACCCUAGUAGUC
This 440-nucleotide ribosomal RNA is filed under the name uncultured bacterium. RNAcentral's name for it is "partial 16S ribosomal RNA". It matches the Rfam family "Bacterial small subunit ribosomal RNA", at positions 338 to 795 of the family's 1533-position model. The record is from RNAcentral.